Citrus sinensis (sweet orange) is the source of this 107-nucleotide non-coding RNA. The record is from Rfam. NCBI's taxonomy places the organism in Eukaryota, Viridiplantae, Streptophyta, Magnoliopsida, Sapindales, Rutaceae.
AUACUGUGAUGUGGACAUCUCUUGAGAAAUUCCUUAAAUCUUUCCCAUGUAUCAUAUAAGCUCUCAUCUUCAAGUUGAUGAAAAGAUGUGAUCUCGUUCCUUAAUUU